GAUGAACGCUGGCGGCGUGCCUAAUACAUGCAAGUCGAGCGAACGGACGAGAAGCUUGCUUCUCUGAUGUUAGCGGCGGACGGGUGAGUAACACGUGGAUAACCUACCUAUAAGACUGGGAUAACUUCGGGAAACCGGAGCUAAUACCGGAUGAUAUUUUGAACCGCAUGGUUCAAAAGUGAAAGACGGUCUUGCUGUCACUUAUAGAUGGAUCCGCGCUGCAUUAGCUAGUUGGUAAGGUGACGGCUUACCAAGGCAACGAUGCAUAGCCGACCUGAGAGGGUGAUCGGCCACACUGGAACUGAGACACGGUCCAGACUCCUACGGGAGGCAGCAGUAGGGAAUCUUCCGCAAUGGGCGAAAGCCUGACGGAGCAACGCCGCGUGAGUGAUGAAGGUCUUCGGAUCGUAAAACUCUGUUAUUAGGGAAGAACAUAUGUGUAAGUAACUGUGCACAUCUUGACGGUACCUAAUCAGAAAGCCACGGCUAACUACGUG
Molecule: ribosomal RNA, 497 nt
Filed under: uncultured bacterium
Lineage: Bacteria
Description: partial 16S ribosomal RNA
Rfam family: Bacterial small subunit ribosomal RNA
Source: RNAcentral